UACGUAGGGGGCAAGCGUUGUCCGGAAUCAUUGGGCGUAAAGGGCGCGUAGGUGGCCUGGCAAGCGUGCGGUGAAAGCUCGGGGCUCAACCCCGAGUCGGCCGUGCGAACUGCUAUGGCUCGAGCACUGUAGAGGCAGGCGGAAUUCCGGGUGUAGCGGUGGAAUGCGUAGAGAUCCGGAAGAACACCGGUGGCGAAGGCGGCCUGCUAGGCAGUAGCUGACACUGAGGCGCGACAGCGUGGGGAGCAAACAGG
RNAcentral lists this ribosomal RNA (254 nucleotides) under uncultured bacterium. RNAcentral describes it as "partial 16S ribosomal RNA". It matches the Rfam family "Bacterial small subunit ribosomal RNA", at positions 524 to 776 of the family's 1533-position model. The record is from RNAcentral.